GACGAACGCUGGCGGCGUGCUUAACACAUGCAAGUCGAACGGAAAGGCCCUGCUUUUGUGGGGUGCUCGAGUGGCGAACGGGUGAGUAACACGUGAGUAACCUGCCCUUGACUUUGGGAUAACUUCAGGAAACUGGGGCUAAUACCGGAUAGGAGCUCCUGCUGCAUGGUGGGGGUUGGAAAGUUUCGGCGGUUGGGGAUGGACUCGCGGCUUAUCAGCUUGUUGGUGGGGUAGUGGCUUACCAAGGCUUUGACGGGUAGCCGGCCUGAGAGGGUGACCGGCCACAUUGGGACUGAGAUACAGCCCAGACUCCUACGGGAGGCAGCAGUGGAGAAUAUUGCACAAUGGGCGGAAGCCUGAUGCAGCAACGCCGCGUGCGGGAUGACGGCCUUCGGGCUGUAAACCGCUUUCGCCUGUGACGAAGCGUGAGUGACGGUAAUGGGUAAAGAAGCACCGGCUAACUACGUG
Molecule: ribosomal RNA, 468 nt
Filed under: uncultured bacterium
Lineage: Bacteria
Description: partial 16S ribosomal RNA
Rfam family: Bacterial small subunit ribosomal RNA
Source: RNAcentral